This 234-nucleotide ribosomal RNA is filed under the name Pseudomonas sp. ICMP 561. RNAcentral describes it as "partial 23S ribosomal RNA". It matches the Rfam family "Bacterial large subunit ribosomal RNA", at positions 209 to 490 of the family's 2925-position model. The record is from RNAcentral. Lineage: Bacteria; Pseudomonadati; Pseudomonadota; Gammaproteobacteria; Pseudomonadales; Pseudomonadaceae.
CCCUGAGGAAAAGAAAUCAACCGAGAUUCCCUUAGUAGUGGCGAGCGAACGGGGACCAGCCCUUAAGUGGCUUGGAGAUUAGCGGAACGCUCUGGAAAGUGCGGCCAUAGUGGGUGAUAGCCCUGUACGCGAAAAUCUCCUUGUCAUGAAAUCGAGUAGGACGGGGCACGAGAAACCUUGUCUGAACAUGGGGGGACCAUCCUCCAAGGCUAAAUACUACUGACUGACCGAUAG